Molecule: ribosomal RNA, 541 nt
Filed under: Nematostella vectensis (starlet sea anemone)
Lineage: Eukaryota; Metazoa; Cnidaria; Anthozoa; Actiniaria; Edwardsiidae
Description: eukaryotic LSU rRNA
Rfam family: Eukaryotic large subunit ribosomal RNA
Source: RNAcentral
ACCGCUGCCGUUCGGGUUGGUUUCCCGACCGUCGCACUUCUCGCAGGCGCGCGCCAACGUCGGUUAGGGCUGGGUCUCAAAGGCGGUGGGAAAGGUAGGUUUGGACUCUCGGGCCCGAACUGUUACAGUCCUCCGUUUGUCAUGGCCCGGACCUGACCGAGGAGCUUGCGGUGCAUGCCGUUCGGCUAGGGUCCCGUCUUCCCGGUCGGUCGUCGAAUGCGGUGGACUGCGUGCAGUGCGCCGCGACUGCUGCCGGUCGCGAGGGCGGUGAUUUCGUACUAUGCACCCACGACGUUGGCGGUCAUAUGGCCUCAUCCGACCCGUCUUGAAACACGGACCAAGGAGUCUAACAUGUGUGCGAGUCUUUGAGUGAUCGAAACUCCGAGGCGUAAUGAAAGUGAAGGCGACUUCGGUCGCUGAGGUGAGAGCCUUUUUCCACAAAAAAAGGCGCAUCAUUGACCGACCUAUUCUACUCUUAGAAAGGUUUGAGUAAGAGCGCAUCUGUUGGGACCCGAAAGAUGGUGAACUAUGCCUGAGAAGG